AUGAGUUGAGUCCACUCUUUAGUCUUUAGACUAGAGAGUAGAGAGGUGUUUGAAAAUCAAAAUGGAGUAUUCAAAAUUUAUGUUAAUCGAUAAAAACAAAUAAAAUAAAAACAGAGAUGAUGAGACAAUGAUACAGAGCCCAAGACUCCAAGAGUUCCAAAUCACUUUGGUAAUAAAUUCUGCAAAAAAGAAAAGAAAUAUUAUGUAUACUUACUUGUUUACUUGCUUUAAUCAUCGUGCAUUUAUUUCACCUCCUCGCCACCAGUGACAUAUAUCCUGUAGAUGGAGAAAGUGCAGCAAGAUAAAGUAUUUUUUGGGGUUAGAUUUUGUUGUAGGUGCUGUUCUUCUUAUGGGUUAUUAAAAUCCACUAAAAUAACUAAGUACCUGUAAAUAGUUUGGAACAAAACAAAAACACCCUCCUCAAAAUUCCAUCUUUCUUGUGAUCUUGCUGUUUCUCUU
RNAcentral lists this long non-coding RNA (459 nucleotides) under Zostera marina. Its description in RNAcentral is "long non-coding RNA (ZMAR_LNC001543)". The record is from RNAcentral. Lineage: Eukaryota; Viridiplantae; Streptophyta; Magnoliopsida; Alismatales; Zosteraceae.